Molecule: non-coding RNA, 59 nt
Filed under: Magnetospirillum sp. LM-5
Lineage: Bacteria; Pseudomonadati; Pseudomonadota; Alphaproteobacteria; Rhodospirillales; Rhodospirillaceae
Description: SECIS_3
Rfam family: Selenocysteine insertion sequence 3
Source: RNAcentral
AUUUGACACGCCCCCACGGUGGCCAGUCUGGCUCCAAGUUUUGGGCGUGGUGCGAUGAC